AGACCGCGGUAUUUCUGACUGUGCAAAGGUAGCAUAAUCGUUAGUUUUUUAAUUGAAAUCUUGUAUGAAUGGUUUGACAAAAAAAAGACUGUCUUUAUAAUUAUUAAUUGAAUUUAACUUUUAAGUGAAAAGGCUUAAAUAAAUUAAAAAGACGAUAAGACCCUAUAAAGCUUAAUAUUAAUUUAUUAUUUAAUAAAAUUAUUAGUGUAUAAAUAUUUGGUAGUAAAUGUUAUUUUAUUGGGGUGAUAAUGGUAAAAUGAUUCUUAACUGUUAAUUUGGUUAGAACAAAAAUAAAUGAAUAACAAAUUUUAUUUAAUAAAUGAUCCUAUUUAGAGAUUUAAAGUUUAAGUUACUUUAGGGAUAACAGCGUAAUUUUUUUUGAGAGUUCUUAUCGAGAAAAAAGUUUGCGACCUCGAUGUUGAAUUAAAAUAUCGUAUAUAAUUGUAGCAGUUAUAUAAGAAGGUCUGUUCGACCUUUAAA
Molecule: ribosomal RNA, 480 nt
Filed under: Perisesarma onychophorum
Lineage: Eukaryota; Metazoa; Arthropoda; Malacostraca; Decapoda; Sesarmidae
Description: partial large subunit ribosomal RNA
Rfam family: Bacterial large subunit ribosomal RNA (bases 360-480)
Source: RNAcentral